RNAcentral lists this transfer RNA (69 nucleotides) under Rattus norvegicus (Norway rat). It matches the Rfam family "tRNA". Rfam says of the family: Transfer RNA (tRNA) molecules are approximately 80 nucleotides in length. Their secondary structure includes four short double-helical elements and three loops (D, anti-codon, and T loops). Further hydrogen bonds mediate the characteristic L-shaped molecular structure. tRNAs have two regions of fundamental functional importance: the anti-codon, which is responsible for specific mRNA codon recognition, and the 3' end, to which the tRNAs corresponding amino acid is attached (by aminoacyl-tRNA synthetases). tRNAs cope with the degeneracy of the genetic code in two manners: having more than one tRNA (with a specific anti-codon) for a particular amino acid; and 'wobble' base-pairing, i.e. permitting non-standard base-pairing at the 3rd anti-codon position. The record is from Rfam by way of RNAcentral. Lineage: Eukaryota; Metazoa; Chordata; Mammalia; Rodentia; Muridae.
GGGGAUUUAGCUCAGUGGUAGAGCACUUGUCUAGCAAGCACAAGGCCCUGGGUUCAGUCCCCAGCUCCG